CCUACGGGUGGCAGCAGUGGGGAAUAUUGCGCAAUGGGCGAAAGCCUGACGCAGCGACGCCGCGUGAGGGAUGAAGGUCUUCUGAUCGUAAACCUCUGUCAGCAGGGAAGAACGGUCACUGUGCUAAUCAGCAGUGCAUUGACGGUACCUGCAAAGGAAGCACCGGCGAACUCCGUGCCAGCAGCCGCGGUAAUACGGAGGGUGCGAGCGUUGAUCGGAAUUACUGGGCGUAAAGCGCUCGUAGGCGGUAUGUCAAGUCAAGGGUGAAAUCCCCGCGCUCAACGUGGGAACUGCCUUUGAAACUGGCAAACUGGAGUGUGUGAGAGGAUAGUGGAAUGCCAGGUGUAGGAGUGAAAUCCGUAGAUAUCGGGAGGAACAUCAGUGGCGAAGGCGACUAUCUGGCACAUAACUGACGCUGAGGAGCGAAAGCGUGGGUAGCAAACAGGAUUAGAUACCCCGGUAGUC
RNAcentral lists this ribosomal RNA (465 nucleotides) under uncultured bacterium. RNAcentral describes it as "partial 16S ribosomal RNA". It matches the Rfam family "Bacterial small subunit ribosomal RNA", at positions 338 to 795 of the family's 1533-position model. The record is from RNAcentral.